AGUGAACGCUGGCGGCAGGCCUAACACAUGCAAGUCGAACGGCAGCAUAGCAGUAGCAAUACUGUGGGUGGCGAGUGGCGGACGGGUGAGGAAUACAUCGGAAUCUGCCUUAUCGUGGGGGAUAACGUAGGGAAACUUACGCUAAUACCGCAUACGACCUACGGGUGAAAGCGGAGGACCGAAAGGCUUCGCGCGAUAAGAUGAGCCGAUGUCGGAUUAGCUAGUUGGCGGGGUAAAGGCCCACCAAGGCGACGAUCCGUAGCUGGUCUGAGAGGAUGAUCAGCCACACUGGAACUGAGACACGGUCCAGACUCCUACGGGAGGCAGCAGUGGGGAAUAUUGGCAAUGGGCGCAAGCCUGAWCCAGCCAUGCCGCGUGUGUGAAGAAGGCCUUCGGGUUGUAAAGCACUUUUGUCCGGAAAGAAAAGCAUCGGGUUAAUACCCUGGUGUUCUGACGGUACCNGAAGAAUAAGCACCGGCUAACUUCGUGCCAGCAGCCGCGGUAAUACGAAGGGUGCAAGCGUUACUCGGAAUUACUGGGCGUAAAGCGUGCGUAGGUGGUUCGUUAAGUCUGAUGUGAAAGCCNUGGGCUCAACCUGGGAAUUGCAUUGGAUACUGGCGAGCUAGAGUGCGGUAGAGGAUNGCGGAAUUCCCGGUGUAGCAGUGNAAUGCGUAGAGAUCGGGAGGNACAUCUGURGGCGAGGCGNCCAUCUGGAACCAGCACC
RNAcentral lists this ribosomal RNA (724 nucleotides) under uncultured Lake Michigan sediment bacterium LMBA32. RNAcentral's name for it is "bacterial SSU rRNA". It matches the Rfam family "Bacterial small subunit ribosomal RNA", at positions 28 to 741 of the family's 1533-position model. The record is from RNAcentral. Lineage: Bacteria; Pseudomonadati; Pseudomonadota; Betaproteobacteria.